Molecule: non-coding RNA, 784 nt
Organism: Cinara cedri
Lineage: Eukaryota; Metazoa; Arthropoda; Insecta; Hemiptera; Aphididae
Source: the annotation of a GenBank genome assembly
UAAGGUGUUAAGAAAACCGUUCAUAAUGUAUAGUGUGAGUGAAACGGAGCACAAAACACAGGCAAUAAUUUAUUCUCCUGUAGUCACGGAGAGAACAUUCCUAAGAAGAUCCACGGACCUCAAAAAAAUGAUAAGACAUAAACUUAUGAGAUAAGAUCGAACAAAAGAGUCUCGGAUUUUUUCGGAAGUAGGUAGAUGGAGUCCGACAAAAUUUAGGCUCGGUCACGUAUUAUUAAAAUCUAAAUCAAUAAUAAUAAUAAUGCCUUAAAGUGGACACCUCGGUAAAAAACCGACAGAAAGACCAAAACAGAGAUGGAUUGACAUAAUAAACAAAAAGAUAUUCAGACAACUAAUAGAAUCAUAUAAAAUGGAGGUGAAGUAAUUCAAGACAGAGAGAAAUGGAAACACGUUUGUGUUUGUUACAACAAUCAGUGAUAGCCUUUAAAGCUGUUUGAAAAAAAAAUAAAUUAUCAUUCCAUCUUGAAAAAUCUGAUAACAGUAGCCUCCCGUAGUGCGAAAUAUGCCUGGUUUAAAAAAAAUAAAAUAAAAUAUCUACAAAAAUCCAAAUGUGAGUUUUUCACCAUGACUGUUGUUUAAUCUGUUCACGUUUAAUUUCAUCGCUUUUUGGCCGUACUCAAAUAUCAUUUAGCGUCCUCGACUUGAAAUUUAUUUUUGGAAUCACAACAAUUCGGUACCUAUAGUGAAACAUAACGAAAAAACGGAACUGUUUUCGUGAUCUUAAUAUUAUAGGAUUAUAUAGCUGCUAUUAUUUUAAAUUAAAACG